Molecule: long non-coding RNA, 290 nt
Organism: Hemiscyllium ocellatum (epaulette shark)
Lineage: Eukaryota; Metazoa; Chordata; Chondrichthyes; Orectolobiformes; Hemiscylliidae
Exons: 3
Source: RefSeq, a predicted model, not a curated record
CACCAGCACUAACAACAACACACACUCCAAAUGUGACAGAGAAGCCCAUUGAAUUUAAUGUGACCUUCACAAUCACCAACCUUGAGUUUACACAAAGUCUACAAGAUUCUAGUUCUUUGUUAUACAGUUCUGCAUCAAAUAUAAUUUCCCACCAGCUCACUGCCCUGUUCAACAGGAGUAAAAUUAAUGCAACACUUUCACGUUGCGAAGUUGCUUCAUUUAGCCUUGCAAGUCUUGGAAACACCAGCGUGUAUGCAAUCUGCACGUUCAGAAAUGAUUCUACUGCUCAG